This 565-nucleotide ribosomal RNA is filed under the name Streptomyces sp. 316C08. Its description in RNAcentral is "bacterial SSU rRNA". It matches the Rfam family "Bacterial small subunit ribosomal RNA", at positions 93 to 671 of the family's 1533-position model. The record is from RNAcentral. Lineage: Bacteria; Bacillati; Actinomycetota; Actinomycetes; Kitasatosporales; Streptomycetaceae.
UAGUGGCGAACGGGUGAGUAACACGUGGGCAAUCUGCCCUUCACUCUGGGACAAGCCCUGGAAACGGGGUCUAAUACCGGAUAAUACCUGCCUGGGCAUCUGGGUGGGUUGAAAGCUCCGGCGGUGAAGGAUGAGCCCGCGGCCUAUCAGCUUGUUGGUGAGGUAGUGGCUCACCAAGGCGACGACGGGUAGCCGGCCUGAGAGGGCGACCGGCCACACUGGGACUGAGACACGGCCCAGACUCCUACGGGAGGCAGCAGUGGGGAAUAUUGCACAAUGGGCGAAAGCCUGAUGCAGCGACGCCGCGUGAGGGAUGACGGCCUUCGGGUUGUAAACCUCUUUCAGCAGGGAAGAAGCGAGAGUGACGGUACCUGCAGAAGAAGCGCCGGCUAACUACGUGCCAGCAGCCGCGGUAAUACGUAGGGCGCAAGCGUUGUCCGGAAUUAUUGGGCGUAAAGAGCUCGUAGGCGGCUUGUCACGUCGGGUGUGAAAGACCGGGGCUUAACCCCGGUUCUGCAUUCGAUACGGGNCUAGCUAGAGUGUGGUAGGGGAGAUCGGAAUUCCU